UAAGUCAGGACAAAACAGGCAGAGGAGCA
This 29-nucleotide non-coding RNA is filed under the name Homo sapiens (human). Lineage: Eukaryota; Metazoa; Chordata; Mammalia; Primates; Hominidae. The record is from RNAcentral.